AUGCCGGCGGACCCUUCGAGAUCCGUCGUGGUGUCCACGGAGGAAGAGUUCUUGCUCCAUAGGGUGGUGUUCCUGGUGUUGGGGAUGGUGCUGAUGGCUCUGGCGCACACGCUUAGCCAGUCACUGGUGUUCUACUAUGGUGGCGCCAUGACCAUCGGCAUUUUCCUUGUGGUGCUGAUUAUACUCUUUCAGGGAAUGAAGCUUUUGCCUACUGGCAGAAAGAGUUCGCUUGCUAUUUUUGCAUACUCUUCAGUUGUUGGCAUGACAACAUAUUUUCUGCACUAUUUGUCGGGACUUCUGCGUUCAAUUCUUGUGGAAAUGGGAAUCGCCGAAGACAUGCAUAAUCCUCUGGGUAUAUUCCUUCUCGUUUGCGUCAUCCUAGCUGGAGCCUGGUUUGGUUUCUGGGGUGUCCGUAAACUUGUUCUAACGGAAGAAGGAUCUGUUGAUGCUGGCGUGGCCUAUUUCGUCGAGUGGGCUAUCUUGAUUGUUUCUGCUGUCUUGAUCCUCCAGAGUUCUCUGGACUAUCUCCUUGCAUUUGCAGCUUUAGUCUUUUGCAUAAUCAUCAAGACAGUUUCAAGGAUUGAAGGGAUGUCAGGAUUUAUGCGCCAUUUAUCAAGUGGACUUUCCAAGGGAAUCACACGCGGUCUCUCCCGCUAUGAAGAUUUGGGAGGGUAUUCCAACACGAAUGGAACUCACCAAGAUGGGUUCAGCAAGCUUCAUGGUGAAUACCUGAAACAUACGCCAAGAAGAAAUUCACCUCUUUCAGGCUCACAGAAGAAAAUAUCGUCACAAGUUCUUGAUAGGGACAGCUACUAUUCGACCUACCACACUACCCCAGAGAGGAGAAAGUUUACGAAAGAGGAAUACGAAGCAUUCACCAAAGAAGAGACAAGAAAAGGUAUGCAGCAGUUACUGUCCUCGCCGGAUUUCAACAGGUGGGCGCUCGCCAAUGCGGACAGGAUAUCAGUGACUCCAGCAGGAUCUGGACGAAGCAGCAGCAGAAGCCAGGAGCGACAUCGUUUCUUCGGAUUGUUUUAA
This 1038-nucleotide ribosomal RNA is filed under the name Triticum aestivum (bread wheat). RNAcentral describes it as "partial small subunit ribosomal RNA". The record is from RNAcentral. Lineage: Eukaryota; Viridiplantae; Streptophyta; Magnoliopsida; Poales; Poaceae.